This 130-nucleotide microRNA precursor is filed under the name Lotus japonicus. RNAcentral describes it as "miR11138 stem-loop (lja-MIR11138)". Lineage: Eukaryota; Viridiplantae; Streptophyta; Magnoliopsida; Fabales; Fabaceae. The record is from miRBase by way of RNAcentral.
UAAUAUAAAACCAUUAAAGUGACCCUUACCCAGCAGCUUAAGCUUUUGGGCUGCAGAACCAAGUCAAGUAACCACUUUAUCCCAAAAGCUUAAGCUGUUGGGUAAGGGUCACUUUAAUGGUUUUAUAUUA